Molecule: ribosomal RNA, 503 nt
Filed under: uncultured bacterium
Lineage: Bacteria
Description: partial 16S ribosomal RNA
Rfam family: Bacterial small subunit ribosomal RNA
Source: RNAcentral
AUUGAACGCUGGCGGCAGGCUUAACACAUGCAAGUCGAGCGGGGUGAUGGUGCUUGCACUAUCACUUAGCGGCGGACGGGUGAGUAAUGCUUAGGAAUCUGCCUAUUAGUGGGGGACAACAUCUCGAAAGGGAUGCUAAUACCGCAUACGUCCUACGGGAGAAAGCAGGGGAUCACUUGUGACCUUGCGCUAAUAGAUGAGCCUAAGUCGGAUUAGCUAGUUGGUGGGGUAAAGGCCUACCAAGGCGACGAUCUGUAGCGGGUCUGAGAGGAUGAUCCGCCACACUGGGACUGAGACACGGCCCAGACUCCUACGGGAGGCAGCAGUGGGGAAUAUUGGACAAUGGGGGGAACCCUGAUCCAGCCAUGCCGCGUGUGUGAAGAAGGCCUUAUGGUUGUAAAGCACUUUAAGCGAGGAGGAGGCUCUUUUGGUUAAUACCCAAGAUGAGUGGACGUUACUCGCAGAAUAAUCACCGGCUAACUCCGUGCCAGCAGCCGCCGUAA